Molecule: ribosomal RNA, 227 nt
Filed under: uncultured bacterium
Lineage: Bacteria
Description: partial 16S ribosomal RNA
Rfam family: Bacterial small subunit ribosomal RNA
Source: RNAcentral
UAGGGAAUCUUCCACAAUGGACGCAAGUCUGAUGGAGCAACGCCGCGUGAGUGAAGAAGGUUUUCGGACCGUAAAGCUCUGUUGUUGGUGAAGAAGGAUAGAGGUAGUAACUGGCCUUUAUUUGACGGUAAUCAACCAGAAAGUCACGGCUAACUACGUGCCAGCAGCCGCGGUAAUCGUAGGUGGCAAGCGUUGUCCGGAUUUAUUGGGCGUAAAAGCGAGCGCAG